CGUGUAGGCGGUCAAUUAAGUCUGAUGUGAAAUACCCGUUUUUAAGAUGGGUCGUGCAUUGGAAACUGAAUGACUUGAGUGCAGAAGAGGUAAGUGGAAUUCCCGGUGUAGCGGUGAAAUGCGUAGAGAUCGGGAGGAACACCAGUGGCGAAGGCGACUUACUGGGCUGCAACUGACGCUGAGGCGCGAAAGCGUGGGGAGCAAACA
RNAcentral lists this ribosomal RNA (207 nucleotides) under uncultured bacterium. RNAcentral's name for it is "partial 16S ribosomal RNA". It matches the Rfam family "Bacterial small subunit ribosomal RNA", at positions 568 to 774 of the family's 1533-position model. The record is from RNAcentral.